UACGUAGGGGCUAGCGUUAUCCGGAAUUACUGGGCGUAAAGGGUGCGUAGGUGGUUUCUUAAGUCAGAGGUGAAAGGCUACGGCUCAACCGUAGUAAGCCUUUGAAACUGAGAAACUUGAGUGCAGGAGAGGAGAGUAGAAUUCCUAGUGUAGCGGUGAAAUGCGUAGAUAUUAGGAGGAAUACCAGUUGCGAAGGCGGCUCUCUGGACUGUAACUGACACUGAGGCACGAAAGCGUGGGGAGCAAACAGGAUUAGAUACCCCGUACGUCCUCGAG
RNAcentral lists this ribosomal RNA (276 nucleotides) under uncultured prokaryote. RNAcentral describes it as "partial 16S ribosomal RNA". It matches the Rfam family "Bacterial small subunit ribosomal RNA", at positions 524 to 801 of the family's 1533-position model. The record is from RNAcentral.